RNAcentral lists this ribosomal RNA (259 nucleotides) under uncultured prokaryote. RNAcentral's name for it is "partial 16S ribosomal RNA". It matches the Rfam family "Bacterial small subunit ribosomal RNA", at positions 524 to 782 of the family's 1533-position model. The record is from RNAcentral.
UACGGAGGAUCCGAGCGUUAUCCGGAUUUAUUGGGUUUAAAGGGUGCGCAGGCGGAAGAUUAAGUCGGUGGUGAAAUUUUGCAGCUCAACUGUAAAAGUGCCAUUGAUACUGGUUUUCUUGAGUGUGGAUGAAGUAGGCGGAAUUUGUGGUGUAGCGGUGAAAUGCAUAGAUAUCACGAGGAACUCCGAUUGCGCAGGCAGCUUACUAGGCCAUAACUGACGCUCAGGCACGAAGGCGUGGGGAUCAAACAGGAUUAGA